This 511-nucleotide ribosomal RNA is filed under the name uncultured bacterium. Its description in RNAcentral is "partial 16S ribosomal RNA". It matches the Rfam family "Bacterial small subunit ribosomal RNA", at positions 356 to 853 of the family's 1533-position model. The record is from RNAcentral.
UGGGAAUAUUGCACAAUGGGCGCAAGCCUGAUGCAGCCAUGCCGCGUGUGUGAAGAAGGCCUUCGGGUUGUAAAGCACUUUCAGCGAGGAGGAAGGUGGUGGACUUAAUACGUUCAUCAAUUGACGUUACUCGCAGAAGAAGCACCGGCUAACUCCGUGCCAGCAGCCGCGGUAAUACGGAGGGUGCAAGCGUUAAUCGGAAUUACUGGGCGUAAAGCGCACGCAGGCGGUUUGUUAAGUCAGAUGUGAAAUCCCCGGGCUCAACCUGGGAACUGCAUUUGAAACUGGCAAGCUAGAGUCUCGUAGAGGGGGGUAGAAUUCCAGGUGUAGCGGUGAAAUGCGUAGAGAUCUGGAGGAAUACCGGUGGCGAAAGGCGGCCCCCUGGACGAAGACUGACGCUCAGGUGCGAAAAGCGUGGGGAGCAAAACAGGAUUAGAUACCCUGGUAGUCCACGCUGUAAAACGAUGUCGAUUUUGGAGGUUGUGCCCCUUGAGGCGUGGNUUCCGGAGCU